Gallus gallus (chicken) is the source of this 370-nucleotide long non-coding RNA. The record is from Ensembl. Lineage: Eukaryota; Metazoa; Chordata; Aves; Galliformes; Phasianidae.
UGGAUAUGAGUUUGGACAACAGCUCCUGCAUUUAAUGGCCUUAGAGUCGGAGCAUACAGGACUGCGUAAGCCUGACCUUCCAGAGCCAUCCACGGAAUAGAGGCAAGAGCUAUGUAAGCAGGUUAUGGAAAUAUGUGAUUAACCCUUGCCAAGGUGGCCCGUCAAAUGAAUGCUUGCUGGAUUUCUUCUUAAUAACUGUUUUAAAUGCUGAAGGGAUAAACCUGCAGGGCACUUCAGGAGAUCCAGAGAAACAUGAGGAAUUCUCAGAUUUGGGCACCCUUCUGGAAAACUGCAGAAGUUUCUUUCCUUUGAGCUGAAGAGUUUGGGGUUGAAGGAGGCUGCUCCUGCCUUGAUUAAUACUGUACCUUCC